GAGCGAGGGCUGACGACCCGCAAGGGUUGUGGGUACCUAGCGGCAAACGGGUGAGUAACACGUGGGCAACCUGUCCUCUCGUGGGGGAUAACACCGAGAAAUCGGUGCUAAUACCGCAUGACAUCGUUGGAGGCAUCUUCGGCGAGGAAAGCAGAGAUGCGCGAGGGGGUGGGCCCGCGGCCUAUCAGCUAGUCGGUGGGGUAACGGCCUACCGAGGCAUUGACGGGUAGCUGGUCUGAGAGGACGACCAGCCACACGGGGACUGAGACACGGCCCCGACUCCUACGGGAGGCAGCAGUGAGGAAUCUUCCGCAAUGGGCGAAAGCCUGACGGAGCGACGCCGCGUGUGGGAUGAAGUCUUUCGGGAUGUAAACCACUGUCGGAGGGGAAGAGAAAGGACGGUACCCUCCAAGGAAGCCCCGGCUAACUACGUG
Molecule: ribosomal RNA, 434 nt
Filed under: uncultured bacterium
Lineage: Bacteria
Description: bacterial SSU rRNA
Rfam family: Bacterial small subunit ribosomal RNA
Source: RNAcentral